AGGCCUAAUUGAUGAUGUGGUCCCUUAAGUUAUUUGUUGGUUACAUUUUAGUCCCAUAAAUUAUUAACGUUACCAUUUGGUCCCUUUAAGCUAUUUUCCGUCAACCAAAUAAAUCCCCACCGUCAAAACCGUUAACUCAAUGUCUAAAGUGGAUACACAUUGUAAGUUGUCACAUCACCGUUCACAUGUGCCUAUUUAAUGUUUUGGCAAAAGACUGACGUUGAGGAUUUAUUUGGCUAACAAAUACUAACUUAAGGGACCAAAUUGUAACGUUAAUAAUUUAUGGGACCAAAAUGUAACCAAUAAAUAACUUAAGGGACCAAAUCAUUAAUUAAGCCU
This 339-nucleotide long non-coding RNA is filed under the name Medicago truncatula (barrel medic). Its description in RNAcentral is "long non-coding RNA (MTRU_LNC008850)". Lineage: Eukaryota; Viridiplantae; Streptophyta; Magnoliopsida; Fabales; Fabaceae. The record is from RNAcentral.